Molecule: ribosomal RNA, 464 nt
Filed under: uncultured microorganism
Description: bacterial SSU rRNA
Rfam family: Bacterial small subunit ribosomal RNA
Source: RNAcentral
GAGUUUGAUCGUGGCUCAGAACGAACGCUGGCGGCAUGCCUAACACAUGCAAGUCGAACGAACUCUUCGGAGUUAGUGGCGCACGGGUGCGUAACGCGUGGGAAUCUGCCCUUGGGUACGGAAUAACUCAGAGAAAUUUGUGCUAAUACCGUAUAAUGACUUCGGUCCAAAGAUUUAUCGCCCAAGGAUGAGCCCGCGUAAGAUUAGCUAGUUGGUGGGUAAAGGCCUACCAAGGCUACGAUCUUUAGCUGGUCUGAGAGGAUGAUCAGCCACACUGGGACUGAGACACGGCCCAGACUCCUACGGGAGGCAGCAGUGGGGAAUAUUGGACAAUGGGCGAAAGCCUGAUCCAGCAAUGCCGCGUGAGUGAUGAAGGCCUUAGGGUUGUAAAGCUCUUUUACCCGGGAUGAUAAUGACAGUACCGGGAGAAUAAGCUCCGGCUAACUCCGUGCCAGCAGCCGCAG